RNAcentral lists this ribosomal RNA (301 nucleotides) under uncultured bacterium. Its description in RNAcentral is "partial 16S ribosomal RNA". It matches the Rfam family "Bacterial small subunit ribosomal RNA", at positions 509 to 807 of the family's 1533-position model. The record is from RNAcentral.
CAGUAGCCGCGGUAAUACAGAGGGUGCAAGCGUUAAUCGGAAUUACUGGGCGUAAAGCGCGCGUAGGUGGUUUGUUAAGUUGGAUGUGAAAGCCCCGGGCUCAACCUGGGAACUGCAUCCAAAACUGGCAAGCUAGAGUACGGUAGAGGGUGGUGGAAUUUCCUGUGUAGCGGUGAAAUGCGUAGAUAUAGGAAGGAACACCAGUGGCGAAGGCGACCACCUGGACUGAUACUGACACUGAGGUGCGAAAGCGUGGGGAGCAAACAGGAUUAGAUACCCGGGUAGUCCCUGUCUCUUAUAC